Long non-coding RNA from Helianthus annuus (common sunflower), 148 nucleotides. RefSeq lists it as uncharacterized. Lineage: Eukaryota; Viridiplantae; Streptophyta; Magnoliopsida; Asterales; Asteraceae. The record is from RefSeq and is a predicted model, not a curated record. The transcript has 2 exons.
UGAAGAGAUUUGGGUUACGAGUACCGAAGACGCAAUACUACAAUUACAGACACUUUUAUACAUGGUUUGAUUAGCUAAGGAAUUUACUGUUAGAUCACGUGAAUGGAUAGGCUAUUAUCGUAAGACCAUUAAUCCUUGUAUAAGGACC